Molecule: ribosomal RNA, 712 nt
Filed under: Vibrio proteolyticus
Lineage: Bacteria; Pseudomonadati; Pseudomonadota; Gammaproteobacteria; Vibrionales; Vibrionaceae
Description: bacterial SSU rRNA
Rfam family: Bacterial small subunit ribosomal RNA
Source: RNAcentral
GAUUAACGCUGGCGGCAGGCCUAACACAUGCAAGUCGAGCGGAAACGAGUUAUCUGAACCUUCGGGGAACGAUAUCGGCGUCGAGCGGCGGACGGGUGAGUAAUGCCUGGGAAAUUGCCCUGAUGUGGGGGAUAACCAUUGGAAACGAUGGCUAAUACCGCAUAAUAGCUUCGGCUCAAAGAGGGGGACCUUCGGGCCUCUCGCGUCAGGAUAUGCCCAGGUGGGAUUAGCUAGUUGGUGAGGUAAGGGCUCACCAAGGCGACGAUCCCUAGCUGGUCUGAGAGGAUGAUCAGCCACACUGGAACUGAGACACGGUCCAGACUCCUACGGGAGGCAGCAGUGGGGAAUAUUGCACAAUGGGCGCAAGCCUGAUGCAGCCAUGCCGCGUGUGUGAAGAAGGCCUUCGGGUUGUAAAGCACUUUCAGUCGUGAGGAAGGUAGUGUAGUUAAUAGAUGCAUUAUUUGACGUUAGCGACAGAAGAAGCACCGGCUAACUCCGUGCCAGCAGCCGCGGUAAUACGGAGGGUGCGAGCGUUAAUCGGAAUUACUGGGCGUAAAGCGCAUGCAGGUGGUGUGUUAAGUCAGAUGUGAAAGCCCGGGGCUCAACCUCGGAAUAGCAUUUGAAACUGGCAGACUAGAGUACUGUAGAGGGGGGUAGAAUUUCAGGUGUAGCGGUGAAAUGCGUAGAGAUCUGAAGGAAUACCGUGGCGAGG